UGAGCCUAGCAGCGGAGAAGAUCUCUUCUUUCACGCACAUCCUUGAGAACAUGGCGGAGAUGUGUCGGCUGCCAGAAGUCGAACUCCUGGAGAACGCUGGAAGGAAGUUGCAGAGGUGGGCAAGGGAGAGAUUUGAUAGAACAGUGGCAUACCCCGCUGCGCUGAAAAG
Long non-coding RNA from Gekko japonicus, 169 nucleotides. RefSeq lists it as uncharacterized. NCBI's taxonomy places the organism in Eukaryota, Metazoa, Chordata, Lepidosauria, Squamata, Gekkonidae. The transcript is spliced from 3 exons. The record is from RefSeq and is a predicted model, not a curated record.